AGUCUAAGUUUUUUAUGUCGGAAACAGGUAGCCGUAGGGGAACCUGCGGCUGGAUCACCUCCUUAAUCGACGACAUCAGCUGCUCCAUAAGUUCCCACACGAAUUGCUUGAUUCAUUGAAGAAGACGAUAAGAAGCAGCCCGAAAUUGGGUCUGUAGCUCAGUUGGUUAGAGCGCACCCCUGAUAAGGGUGAGGUCGGCAGUUCGAAUCUGCCCAGACCCACCAAUUUUGUGUGGGAAACGCCUGUAGAAAUACGGGGCCAUAGCUCAGCUGGGAGAGCGCCUGCCUUGCACGCAGGAGGUCAACGGUUCGAUCCCGUUUGGCUCCACCACUACUGCUUCUGAAAGUUUUGAAAGCUUAGAAAUGAGCAUUCCAUCAGGUUGAUGAUGAAUGUUGAUUUCUAGUCUUUGAUUAGAUCGUUCUUUAAAAAUUUGGGUAUGUGAUAGAAAGAUAGACUGAACGUUACUUUCACUGGUAACGGAUCAGGCUAAGGUAAAAUUUGUGAGUUCUCUUAGUUGAGAAAUUCGAAUUUUCGGCGAAUGUUGUCUUCACAGUAUAACCAGAUUGCUUGGGGUUGAAUUAUGGUCCAACAUGGUCA
This 597-nucleotide unclassified non-coding RNA is filed under the name Pseudomonas sp. W18. Its description in RNAcentral is "partial contains 16S ribosomal RNA, 16S-23S ribosomal RNA intergenic spacer, and 23S ribosomal RNA". The stretch from base 148 to 221 matches the Rfam family "tRNA". The record is from RNAcentral. Lineage: Bacteria; Pseudomonadati; Pseudomonadota; Gammaproteobacteria; Pseudomonadales; Pseudomonadaceae.